RNAcentral lists this ribosomal RNA (397 nucleotides) under uncultured bacterium. RNAcentral describes it as "partial 16S ribosomal RNA". It matches the Rfam family "Bacterial small subunit ribosomal RNA", at positions 523 to 918 of the family's 1533-position model. The record is from RNAcentral.
AUACGUAGGGGGCGAGCGUUGUCCGGAAUGAUUGGGCGUAAAGGGCGCGUAGGCGGCCCGGUAAGUCUGGAGUGAAAGUCCUGUUUUUAAGAUGGGAAUUGCUUUGGAUACUGUCGGGCUUGAGUGCAGGAGAGGCAAGUGGAAUUCCCAGUGUAGCGGUGAAAUGCGUAGAGAUUGGGAGGAACACCAGUGGCGAAGGCGACUUACUGGACUGUAACUGACGCUGAGGCGCGAAAGUGUGGGGAGCAAACAGGAUUAGAUACCCUGGUAGUCCACACUGUAAACGAUGAAUGCUAGGUGUAGGGGGUAUCGACCCCUUCUGUGCCGCAGUCAACACAAUAAGCAUUCCGCCUGGGGAGUACGGCCGCAAGGUUGAAACUCAAAGGAAUUGACGGGG